CCAGCUUCUUUGUGGAGAAUGCCAGCAUCGCCUGUGCACUGAAGAAUGUCAGUGGCAAGAUUUGGGAUGAGAAUAAUGAAAAGAUAUCAAUCUUUGUCAACCCUGCUGGUAUACCCCACUUUGUGCAGAGGGAGCUAAAGUCAGAAAAGGUGGAGCAGAUAAAGCUGGCCGUGAACCAACCGUGUGAUGUCUCCCAGGAAGCUCUUGAUAUCCAGAGACUCCCAUUUUACCCAGACAUGAUGAACCAUGAUACUACAAUGGCAUCGAAUCCUAGAAAGUGCAUGGCUGCCUCCCUGCACGUCCAUGAAGAGAACAUACCUACGGUGAUGUCUGCAGGGGAGAUGGACAAGUGGAAAGGGAUAGAGCCAGGAGAGAAGUGUGCGGACAGAAGCCCAGUGUGCACAACCUUAUCGGAUAACUCCAGCAACAUAAAGUCAGUUGUACCCUCUGUCACCACCUGGGACCCUGACCUGUGUUUGAUAGUGCCCUUCUGCAGUAGAAGGCAGCACUGGUCUUCUGGGAGGACCACAGACCCUCUCCUUCCCCCUCGCCCCACUCCUCUCUCUGUGUCACUCAUUCGUCUGUGCUUAGA
RNAcentral lists this small RNA (592 nucleotides) under Pongo abelii (Sumatran orangutan). RNAcentral's name for it is "retained intron". The record is from RNAcentral. Lineage: Eukaryota; Metazoa; Chordata; Mammalia; Primates; Hominidae.